GCUUGUCUCAAAGAUUAAGCCAUGCAUGUCUAAGUGUAAGCAAUUAUACCGUGAAACUGCGAAUGGCUCAUUAUAUCAGUUAUAAUUUACUUGAUAGUUCCUACUACUUGGAUACCCGUAGUAAUUCUAGAGCUAAUACAUGCGAGAACCCCUGACUUUUAGGAAGGGCGUAUUUAUUAGAUACAACCAACCCGGGCAACCGGUCCUUUGGUGAUUCAUGAUAACUUUGCGAAUCGCAUAGCUUUAAUGCUGGCGAUGGGUCAUUCAAAUUUCUGCCCUAUCAACUUUCGACGGUAGGAUAGAGGCCUACUGUGGUGAUAACGGGUAACGAAGAAUAAGGGUUCGAUUUCGGAGAGGGAGCCUGAGAAACGGCUACCACAUCCAAGGAAGGCAGCAGG
RNAcentral lists this ribosomal RNA (398 nucleotides) under uncultured Blastocladiomycota. Its description in RNAcentral is "partial small subunit ribosomal RNA". It matches the Rfam family "Eukaryotic small subunit ribosomal RNA", at positions 30 to 432 of the family's 1831-position model. Lineage: Eukaryota; Fungi; Blastocladiomycota. The record is from RNAcentral.